AUGCCGGAUGCUCCGACUCCUCGCAUGGGGUGUCGGGAAAGAUUUCAUCGGUAUGGGAUGGGGUCGCGUCCUAUCAGGUAGUCGGCGGGGUAACGGCCCACCGAGCCUACGACGGGUAGCCGGCCUGAGAGGGCGACCGGCCACAUUGGGACUGAGAUACGGCCCAGACUCCUACGGGAGGCAGCAGUGGGGAAUAUUGCACAAUGGGCGCAAGCCUGAUGCAGCGACGCCGCGUGCGGGAUGACGGCCUUCGGGUUGUAAACCGCUUUUGAUCGGGAGCAAGCCUUCGGGUGAGUGUACCUUUCGAAUAAGCACCGGCUAACUACGUGCCAGCAGCCGCGGUAAUACGUAGGGUGCAAGCGUUAUCCGGAAUUAUUGGGCGUAAAGGGCUCGUAGGCGGUUCGUCGCGUCCGGUGUGAAAGUCCAUCGCUUAACGGUGGAUCUGCGCCGGGUACGGGCGGGCUGGAGUGCGGUAGGGGAGACUGGAAUUCCCGGUGUAACGGUGGAAUGUGUAGAUAUCGGAAA
RNAcentral lists this ribosomal RNA (525 nucleotides) under Bifidobacterium pseudocatenulatum. RNAcentral describes it as "bacterial SSU rRNA". It matches the Rfam family "Bacterial small subunit ribosomal RNA", at positions 166 to 703 of the family's 1533-position model. The record is from RNAcentral. Lineage: Bacteria; Bacillati; Actinomycetota; Actinomycetes; Bifidobacteriales; Bifidobacteriaceae.